This 435-nucleotide ribosomal RNA is filed under the name uncultured Lachnospiraceae bacterium. RNAcentral describes it as "partial 16S ribosomal RNA". It matches the Rfam family "Bacterial small subunit ribosomal RNA", at positions 341 to 792 of the family's 1533-position model. The record is from RNAcentral. Lineage: Bacteria; Bacillati; Bacillota; Clostridia; Lachnospirales; Lachnospiraceae.
ACGGGAGGCAGCAGUGGGGAAUAUUGCACAAUGGGCGAAAGCCUGAUGCAGCGACGCCGCGUGAGCGAAGAAGUAUUUCGGUAUGUAAAGCUCUAUCAGCAGGGAAGAAAAUGACAGUACCUGACUAAGAAGCCCCGGCUAACUACGUGCCAGCAGCCGCGGUAAUACGUAGGGGGCAAGCGUUAUCCGGAUUUACUGGGUGUAAAGGGAGCGUAGGUGGCAUGGCAAGCCAGAAGUGAAAACCCGGGGCUCAACCCCGCGGACUGCUUUUGGAACUGUCAGGCUAGAGUGCAGGAGGGGCAGGCGGAAUUCCUAGUGUAGCGGUGAAAUGCGUAGAUAUUAGGAGGAACACCGGUGGCGAAGGCGGCCUGCUGGACUGUAACUGACACUGAGGCUCGAAAGCGUGGGGAGCAAACAGGAUUAGAUACCCUGGUA